RNAcentral lists this ribosomal RNA (392 nucleotides) under uncultured bacterium. Its description in RNAcentral is "partial 16S ribosomal RNA". It matches the Rfam family "Bacterial small subunit ribosomal RNA", at positions 523 to 918 of the family's 1533-position model. The record is from RNAcentral.
AUACGGAGGAUCCGAGCGUUAUCCGGAUUUAUUGGGUUUAAAGGGUGCGCAGGCGGGAGAUUAAGUCGGCGGUCAAAUGUCGGUGCCCAACAUCGUCCUUCCGUUGAAACUGGCAGUCUUGAAUGCACACAGGGAAGGUGGAAUUCGUCGUGUAGCGGUGAAAUGCUUAGAUAUGACGAGGAACUCCGAUCGCGAAGGCAUCCUUCUGGAGUGCGAUUGACGCUGAGGCUCGAAAGCGCGGGUAUCAAACAGGAUUAGAUACCCUGGUAGUCCGCGCCGUAAACGAUGGAUGCUCGUCAUUGGGGCAUUAGUUUCAGUGACCAAGCGAAAGCAUUAAGCAUCCCACCUGGGGAGUACGCCGGCAACGGUGAAACUCAAAUGAAUUGACGGGG